This 253-nucleotide ribosomal RNA is filed under the name uncultured bacterium. RNAcentral describes it as "partial 16S ribosomal RNA". It matches the Rfam family "Bacterial small subunit ribosomal RNA", at positions 524 to 776 of the family's 1533-position model. The record is from RNAcentral.
UACGAAGGGUGCAAGCGUUACUCGGAAUUACUGGGCGUAAAGCGUGCGUAGGUGGUUCGUUAAGUCUGAUGUGAAAGCCCUGGGCUCAACCUGGGAAUGGCAUUGGAAACUGGCGACCUAGAGUGCGGUAGAGGGUAGUGGAAUUCCCGGUGUAGCAGUGAAAUGCGUAGAGAUCGGGAGGAACAUCCGUGGCGAAGGCGACUACCUGGACAAUUGCUGACGCUCAGGCACGAAAGCGUGGGGAGCAAAAGGG